GAUGAACGCUGGCGGCGUGCCUAACACAUGCAAGUCGAACGAACCUGAUCUUCGGAAAGGUUAGUGGCGUACGGGUGAGUAACACGUGGGUGACCUGCCCUGGAGUGGGGGAUAACUUCUCGAAAGAGAGGCUAAUACCGCAUAUGCUCGGCCAUUCGGUUGGUCGAGUAAAGCUCCGGCGCUCCAGGAGGGGCCUGCGUCCGAUUAGCUAGUUGGUGAGGUAAUGGCUCACCAAGGCGAUGAUCGGUAGCUGGUCUGAGAGGACGAUCAGCCACACUGGCACUGACACACGGGCCAGACUCCUACGGGAGGCAGCAGUGAGGAAUAUUGGUCAAUGGGCGAAAGCCUGAACCAGCAACGCCGCGUGAGGGAUG
This 374-nucleotide ribosomal RNA is filed under the name uncultured Chloroflexota bacterium. Its description in RNAcentral is "bacterial SSU rRNA". It matches the Rfam family "Bacterial small subunit ribosomal RNA", at positions 28 to 410 of the family's 1533-position model. The record is from RNAcentral. Lineage: Bacteria; Bacillati; Chloroflexota.